GCUGACAUUAGCUAACAUUAGCUACUGGUCAUACCACACCAAGUAAGGCUGCAGCAAUCAAACCAAGUAGUG
Molecule: long non-coding RNA, 72 nt
Organism: Etheostoma cragini (Arkansas darter)
Lineage: Eukaryota; Metazoa; Chordata; Actinopteri; Perciformes; Percidae
Exons: 3
Source: RefSeq, a predicted model, not a curated record